GCUGGCGUAGUGGCUCACGCCCGUCAUCCCAACAUUUUUGGGAGGCUGAGGCAGGAGGAUCGCUUGAGCCCAGGAGUUCAGGACCAGCCUUGGCCAACAUAGUGAGAUUGUGUCUCUAUAAACAAUUUAAAAACUAGCUGGGUGUGGGUGCAUGCCUGUAGUCCCAGCUACUCAGAGGCCUGGGGCAGGAGGAUGGCUUGAGCCUGGAAGGUCAAGGUUGCAGUGAGCCAGGAUUAUACCACUGUACUCCAGCCUGGGCAACAUAGUGAGACCCUGUCUCU
RNAcentral lists this small RNA (281 nucleotides) under Gorilla gorilla gorilla (western lowland gorilla). RNAcentral describes it as "Metazoan signal recognition particle RNA (ENSGGOG00000039981.1)". Lineage: Eukaryota; Metazoa; Chordata; Mammalia; Primates; Hominidae. The record is from RNAcentral.